This 95-nucleotide transfer RNA is filed under the name Vibrio parahaemolyticus. RNAcentral describes it as "tRNA-Gly". Lineage: Bacteria; Pseudomonadati; Pseudomonadota; Gammaproteobacteria; Vibrionales; Vibrionaceae. The record is from RNAcentral.
GAAGUGUCAGAUCUAGUCGGAACUAAUACAUAUAAUCGCUAUUACUUCAGCCUUCCAAGCUGAUGAUACGGGUUCGAUUCCCACUGUACGCUUCA